UUUUAAGAAGUUAUGUCUAUUAAAAGUUAUGUCUAUGUAUGGAAUUAUAAUGUAUGUAAUUAGAAUGUCAAAAAGAUCCAUAAACCCGGCAAAUCAAUUAGACAUUUAAACCCGUCUUUUUUUUUUCAAAAAAAAAA
This is a non-coding RNA of Durio zibethinus, 137 nucleotides long. The record is from RefSeq and is a predicted model, not a curated record. NCBI's taxonomy places the organism in Eukaryota, Viridiplantae, Streptophyta, Magnoliopsida, Malvales, Malvaceae.